RNAcentral lists this transfer RNA (73 nucleotides) under Cavia porcellus (domestic guinea pig). It matches the Rfam family "tRNA". Rfam says of the family: Transfer RNA (tRNA) molecules are approximately 80 nucleotides in length. Their secondary structure includes four short double-helical elements and three loops (D, anti-codon, and T loops). Lineage: Eukaryota; Metazoa; Chordata; Mammalia; Rodentia; Caviidae. The record is from Rfam by way of RNAcentral.
UGGGGUUUAGCUCAGUGGCACAAGCACCUGCCUGGCAAGCACGAAGUCCUGAGUUCGAUUCCCGGUACCCAAA